RNAcentral lists this ribosomal RNA (253 nucleotides) under uncultured bacterium. RNAcentral's name for it is "partial 16S ribosomal RNA". It matches the Rfam family "Bacterial small subunit ribosomal RNA", at positions 524 to 776 of the family's 1533-position model. The record is from RNAcentral.
UACGGAGGGUGCAAACGUUGCUCGGAAUCACUGGGCUUAAAGGGUGCGUAGGCGGCGCGGAGAGUAGGGUGUGAAAUCCCUCGGCUCAACCGAGGAAUUGCGCCCUAAACUACCGUGCUCGAGGGAGAUAGAGGUGAGCGGAACUUAGGGUGGAGCGGUGAAAUGCGUUGAUAUCCUAAGGAACACCGGUGGCGAAAGCGGCUCACUGGAUCUCUUCUGACGCUGAGGCACGAAAGCUAGGGUAGCGAACGGG